Molecule: ribosomal RNA, 1001 nt
Filed under: Bacillus sp. (in: firmicutes)
Lineage: Bacteria; Bacillati; Bacillota; Bacilli; Caryophanales; Bacillaceae
Description: bacterial SSU rRNA
Rfam family: Bacterial small subunit ribosomal RNA
Source: RNAcentral
GGGUGCUAUACUGCAGUCGAGCGGACAGAUGGGAGCUUGCUCCCUGAUGUUAGCGGCGGACGGGUGAGUAACACGUGGGUAACCUGCCUGUAAGACUGGGAUAACUCCGGGAAACCGGGGCUAAUACCGGAUGGUUGUUUGAACCGCAUGGUUCAAACAUAAAAGGUGGCUUCGGCUACCACUUACAGAUGGACCCGCGGCGCAUUAGCUAGUUGGUGAGGUAACGGCUCACCAAGGCAACGAUGCGUAGCCGACCUGAGAGGGUGAUCGGCCACACUGGGACUGAGACACGGCCCAGACUCCUACGGGAGGCAGCAGUAGGGAAUCUUCCGCAAUGGACGAAAGUCUGACGGAGCAACGCCGCGUGAGUGAUGAAGGUUUUCGGAUCGUAAAGCUCUGUUGUUAGGGAAGAACAAGUACCGUUCGAAUAGGGCGGUACCUUGACGGUACCUAACCAGAAAGCCACGGCUAACUACGUGCCAGCAGCCGCGGUAAUACGUAGGUGGCAAGCGUUGUCCGGAAUUAUUGGGCGUAAAGGGCUCGCAGGCGGUUUCUUAAGUCUGAUGUGAAAGCCCCCGGCUCAACCGGGGAGGGUCAUUGGAAACUGGGGAACUUGAGUGCAGAAGAGGAGAGUGGAAUUCCACGUGUAGCGGUGAAAUGCGUAGAGAAUGUGGAGGAACACCAGUGGCGAAGGCGACUCUCUGGUCUGUAACUGACGCUGAGGAGCGAAAGCGUGGGGAGCGAACAGGAUUAGAUACCCCUGGUAGUCCACGCCGUAAACGAUGAGUGGUAAGGGGGUUAGGGGGUUUCCGCCCCUUAGUGCUGCAGCUAACGCAUUAAGCACUCCGCCCUGGGGGAGUACGGUCGCAAGACUGAAACUCAAAGGAAAUUGACGGGGGCCCGCACAAGCGGGGGAAACAUGUGGGUUAAUUCGAAGCCACGCGAAGAACCUUACCAGGGCUUGAAUCCUCUGAAAUCCUAAAAGAUAGGAGGUCCCUUCC